This 913-nucleotide ribosomal RNA is filed under the name Exophiala dermatitidis. RNAcentral describes it as "LSU rRNA". It matches the Rfam family "Eukaryotic large subunit ribosomal RNA", at positions 38 to 968 of the family's 3401-position model. The record is from RNAcentral. Lineage: Eukaryota; Fungi; Ascomycota; Eurotiomycetes; Chaetothyriales; Herpotrichiellaceae.
GCAUAUCAAUAAGCGGAGGAAAAGAACCAACAGGGAUUGCCUCAGUAACGGCGAGUGAAGCGGCAACAGCUCAAAUUUGAAAUCUGGCCUCUUUGGGGUCCGAGUUGUAAUUUGUAGAGGAUGUUUCGGGCACCGCUCCGGUUUAAAUUUCUUGGAACAGAAUGUCAAAGAGGGUGAGAACCCCGUCUUGGACCGGCAGUAGGGCCCAUGUGAAACUCCUUCGACGAGUCGAGUUGUUUGGGAAUGCAGCUCAAAAUGGGUGGUAAAUUUCAUCUAAAGCUAAAUAUUGGCCAGAGACCGAUAGCGCACAAGUAGAGUGAUCGAAAGAUGAAAAGCACUUUGAAAAGAGAGUUAAACAGUACGUGAAAUUGUUGAAAGGGAAGCGCUUGCAACCAGACUUGCGCGCGGCGGUUCCCCCUUCCUUUUGGUUGGGUUAUUCCGCCGUGUCCAGGCCAACAUCGGUUCUGGGGGUCGGUUAAAGGCCUGGGGAAUGUAUCUACCCUUCGGGCGUAGACUUAUAGCCCCGGGUGUCAUGCGACCUCCCGGGACCGAGGAACGCGCUUCGGCUCGGAUGUUGGCGUAAUGGUUGUCAGCGACCCGUCUUGAAACACGGACCAAGGAGUCUAACAUCUAUGCGAGUGUUUGGGUGUCAAACCCGGAACGCGGAAUGAAAGUGAACGGAGGUAGGAAGCUUCGGCUGCACUAUCGACCGAUCCUGAUGUCUUCGGAUGGAUUUGAGUAAGAGCAUAGCUGUUGGGACCCGAAAGAUGGUGAACUAUGCCUGAAUAGGGUGAAGCCAGAGGAAACUCUGGUGGAGGCUCGCAGCGGUUCUGACGUGCAAAUCGAUCGUCAAAUUUGGGUAUAGGGGCGAAAGACUAAUCGAACCAUCUGGUAGCUGGUUCCUGCCGAAGUU